UUUACAGCAGUGAGGAAGGUGGAUAUGUUAAUAGCAUAUUCAUUUGACGUUAGCUGCAGAAGAAGCACCGGCUAACUCCGUGCCAGCAGCCGCGGUAAUACGGAGGGUGCGAGCGUUAAUCGGAAUUUACUGGGCGUAAAAGCGCAUGCAGGUGGUUUGUUAAGUCAGAUGUGAAAGCCCGGGGCUCAACCUCGGAAUUGCAUUUGAAACUGGCAAACUAGAGUACUGUAGAGGGGGUAGAAUUUCAGGUGUAGCGGUGAAAUGCGUAGAGAUCUGAAGGAAUACCGGUGGCGAAGGCGGCCCCCUGGACAGAUACUGACACUCAGAUGCGAAAGCGUGGGGAGCAAACAGGAUUAGAUACCCUGGUAG
RNAcentral lists this ribosomal RNA (369 nucleotides) under uncultured bacterium. RNAcentral describes it as "bacterial SSU rRNA". It matches the Rfam family "Bacterial small subunit ribosomal RNA", at positions 433 to 793 of the family's 1533-position model. The record is from RNAcentral.